AAUAGAUACCCGGGUAGUCCUAGCCAUCAACGAUGGAUACUGGAUAUUCCUGCGACUCAUGUGGGAGUGUCGAAGCCAACGCGUUAAGUAUCCCGCCUGGGGAGUACGGUCGCAAGAUUGAAACUCAAAGGAAUUGACGGGGGCCCGCACAAGCGGUGGAGCAUGUGGUUUAAUUCGACGCAACGCGAAGAACCUUACCUGGGCUUGAACUGUCGGUAUAGGGACCCGAAAGGGCGACGAUCCCGGGCAACCGGGAAGCCGAUAGAGGUGCUGCAUGGCUGUCGUCAGCUCGUGUCGUGAGAUGUUGGGUUAAGUCCCGCAACGAGCGCAACCCUUGUCUUUAGUUGCCAGCGAGUCAUGUCGGGCACUCUAAGGAGACUGCCUCGGAUAACGAGGAGGAAGGUGGGGAUGACGUCAAGUCAGCAUGGCCUUUAUGUCCAGGGCUACACACGUGCUACAAUGGGCGGCACAGAAGGACGCGAGACCGCGAGGUCAAGCCAACCCUUAAAACCGUUCUCAGUUCGGAUUGCAGGC
RNAcentral lists this ribosomal RNA (534 nucleotides) under uncultured bacterium. Its description in RNAcentral is "bacterial SSU rRNA". It matches the Rfam family "Bacterial small subunit ribosomal RNA", at positions 777 to 1305 of the family's 1533-position model. The record is from RNAcentral.